RNAcentral lists this ribosomal RNA (339 nucleotides) under Triticum aestivum (bread wheat). Its description in RNAcentral is "partial small subunit ribosomal RNA". Lineage: Eukaryota; Viridiplantae; Streptophyta; Magnoliopsida; Poales; Poaceae. The record is from RNAcentral.
AUGGGGACGUGGUGGAUCCUGACAAGGGCCGGCGAGAGGGCUUUUUUGUUAGUUGUUCCUUUAAAAUUUGUUAGGCUUUAUGUUUUGCUUAGGAAGGCGAGAUGGCGUCGGCUUCUUAAAGAUGGAAUAAAGGUCUCCUCGCCUAACCCUCAUUUCGGUGAUGUGUUUAGCAUCGUUGGUGGGCGUGUGAAAGGUGUGUCUCCGGUGGAUCUAUCGUCGGUGGAUUUGCUCGGAUCUGGUUGUUGUUUUUCUAUGUCCGUAUGUCUUCAGGUUGGAUACUUCCGAUCUACGUUAUUCUUCAUUGGUGGCGGUUGCUGUUCUGGUGCAAUGGUCAUAUAG